AGGGAAUAUUGCGCAAUGGGCGAAAGCCUGACGCAGCGACGCCGCGUGAGUGAUGAAGGUCCUCUGGAUUGUAAAGCUCUGUAAGGAGGGAAGAACCGCCUGGUGUAACGGCCAGGUCUGACGGUACCUCCAAAGUAAGCACCAGCUAAAUAAGUGCCAGCAGCCGCGGUAAUACUUAUGGUGCGAGCGUUGUCCGGAAGACUGGGCGUAAAGGGUGCGUAGGCGGACUUUCAAGUCAGGUGUGAAAUCCCCGGGCUUAACCUGGGAACUGCGCUUGAAACUGGAAGUCUAGAGUAUGUGAGGGGUUAGCGGAAUUCCCGGAGUAGCGGUGAAAUGCGUAGAGAUCGGGAAGAACACCGGUGGCGAAGGCGGCUAACUGGCACAUGACUGACGCUGAGGCGCGAAAGCGUGGGGAGCGAACGGGAUUAGAUACCCCAGUAGUC
Molecule: ribosomal RNA, 443 nt
Filed under: uncultured bacterium
Lineage: Bacteria
Description: partial 16S ribosomal RNA
Rfam family: Bacterial small subunit ribosomal RNA
Source: RNAcentral